UACGUAGGGUGCGAGCGUUGCCCGGAUUUAUUGGGCGUAAAGGGCGCGGUAGGCGCCACGCACGUCCGUUGUGAAAUCGCCCGGCUCAACUGGGCGGGGUCGGCGGAUACGGCGUGGCUGGAGCAAGCUAGGGGGCAAUGGAAUUCCCGGUGUAGUGGUGGAGUGCGUAGAUAUCGGGAGGAACACCAGUGGCGAAGGCGGUUGCCUGGAGCUUUGCUGAGCGCUGAGGCGCGAAAGCGUGGGGAGCGAUCCGG
This 254-nucleotide ribosomal RNA is filed under the name uncultured bacterium. Its description in RNAcentral is "partial 16S ribosomal RNA". It matches the Rfam family "Bacterial small subunit ribosomal RNA", at positions 524 to 776 of the family's 1533-position model. The record is from RNAcentral.